Molecule: non-coding RNA, 902 nt
Organism: Microcebus murinus (gray mouse lemur)
Lineage: Eukaryota; Metazoa; Chordata; Mammalia; Primates; Cheirogaleidae
Source: RefSeq, a predicted model, not a curated record
GAGACCAGUGAGCUAUUCCACUUCCGUAUGACAGCAGGAGCCUCCGUGAACGCAACGGAGUUUCACCAAACGAGUGACUCUAAUGGGGAAUUUUCAGGUGGAGUGUGCGCUCUCAUCCUCGAGUUUGCUCGCUGGAGUUGCAGGCUGAGGACCAGAUGGUGGAGGAGGCAUAUGCAGGCUUGACCUUGACCUGAGGCUGGAGGAGAAUGGCACAUUCGGACAUCGUGACAAUUGAUGAGAGCGCUCAGGGCUGCCGAGGAGCUCUCAGGCUCUGAUUCCACUGCCCAUCACUGACGAUCACAGAACGCCAUCAUUCAAAGAUCCACGACCCGCAGCUUAGAUGAUGCUGGAACGCCAGGGGCUGCAGAGCCCCGUCCUAACAAGGCACUCUGCUGUCUCGGGGAACUUAAACCACUCUGUUUUCCCUUUAGUUUGCAACCCCCGGCUUAUGGCUCGACAGAGAAGAUGGGAGAUGAGUGACUUUGAGACUCUGGGAAGAGGCAGAAACAGCGAGAAAGAUUCCUCAGCGCCAGAGGGAUGGGAGCUCUGCGGGUGCCUCGAUCCAUUCCAUCAUGAGGUCUUGGGGGGAUGGCCGGACUCCCGCUGAUGAUCGGGCAUGGGGAGAUGCCGGAUGGCUGGGGUACACUGAAAGAAGUUGGAGCCUGGAUUUGGGGUUCCUAGCCUCCACAAAGAUCCUGUGGCCGUGCCUGAGGGGCUCUGCAGAGUUGGACCAUGAGCCCACCGGUAAGGUCAUGGGGCACCAAAGCCCAGAGCCCAGCUUCUUUUUCCUAGCCCUGUGUUAAGCCUCCUGGAUUCUCAUGUGAACUUAGGGAGGUGAAAGGAACCACCCCAAAAUAGGGACACUGAAUUUCUUGUGGCCUGGCGCGGUGGCUCACACCUGU